Molecule: ribosomal RNA, 504 nt
Filed under: uncultured bacterium
Lineage: Bacteria
Description: partial 16S ribosomal RNA
Rfam family: Bacterial small subunit ribosomal RNA
Source: RNAcentral
AUUGAACGCUGGCGGCAGGCCUAACACAUGCAAGUCGAACGGUAGCACAGAGAGCUUGCUCUCGGGUGACGAGUGGCGGACGGGUGGGUAACGUCUGGGAAACUGCCCGAUGGAGGGGGAUAACUACUGGAAACGGUAGCUAAUACCGCAUAACGUCGCAAGACCAAAGUGGGGGACCUUCGGGCCUCACACCAUCGGAGGUGCCCAGAUGGGAUUAGCUAGUAGGUGGGGUAAUGGCUCACCUAGGCGACGAGCCCUAGCUGGUCUGAGAGGAUGACCAGCCACACUGGAACUGAGACACGGUCCAGACUCCUACGGGAGGCAGCAGUGGGGAAUAUUGCACAAUGGGCGCAAGCCUGAUGCAGCCAUGCCGCGUGUAUGAAGAAGGCCUUCGGGUUGUAAAGUACUUUCAGCGGGGAGGAAGGCGGUGAAGUUAACAGCUUCACCGAUUGACGUUACCCGCAGAAGAAGCACCGGCUAACUCCGUGCCAGCAGCCGCGGUAA